GAUGAAGAACGUAGCGAAAUGCGAUAAGUAAUGCGAAUUGCAGAAUCCGUGAGUCAUCGAAUCUUUGAACGCACAUUGCGCCCUCUGGUAUUCCGGAGGGCAUGCCUGUUCGAGCGUCAUUAUCACCCCUCAAGCCCGGCUUGUUGUUGGAUGCAGCGCUUAUCCCGCUCCUCCCAAAGAUAAUGACGGCGUCUGCGACGACUCCUGUACGCUGAGCUUUCGGGCACGUACACGGCUAGAAGUCCAGACCCGGUCGCCGUCCCCCCCGCGGGGACACCCAUUACCACAAGGUUGACCUCGGAUCAGGUAGGAAUACCCGCUGAACUUAAGCAUAUCAAUAAGCGGAGGA
RNAcentral lists this unclassified non-coding RNA (349 nucleotides) under soil metagenome. RNAcentral describes it as "partial contains 5.8S ribosomal RNA, internal transcribed spacer 2, and large subunit ribosomal RNA". The stretch from base 1 to 119 matches the Rfam family "5.8S ribosomal RNA", at positions 35 to 154 of the family's 154-position model. The record is from RNAcentral.